RNAcentral lists this ribosomal RNA (253 nucleotides) under uncultured bacterium. RNAcentral describes it as "partial 16S ribosomal RNA". It matches the Rfam family "Bacterial small subunit ribosomal RNA", at positions 524 to 776 of the family's 1533-position model. The record is from RNAcentral.
UACAGAGGUCUCAAGCGUUGUUCGGAUUCAUUGGGCGUAAAGCGCGUGUAGGCUGCUCUGCAAGUCGGGUGUGAAAGCCCUGGGCUCAACCUAGGAAGUGCACUCGAAACUGCAGAGCUGGAGUCCUGGAGAGGAAGGCGGAAUUCUCGGUGUAGAGGUGAAAUUCGUAGAUAUCGAGAGGAACACCGGUGACGAAGGCGGCCUUCUGGACAGUGACUGACGCUGAGACGCGAAAGCGUGGGGAGCAAACAGG